AACGAACGCUGGCGGCAGGCCUAACACAUGCAAGUCGAGGGGGAAGCUACUUUCGGGUAGUGGAGACCGGCGCACGGGUGAGUAACGCGUGGGAACCUACCCUGGGGUCGGGGGAUAACCACUGGAAACGGUGGCUAAUACCGCAUACGCCUUUAGAGGGAAAGAUUUAUCGCCCUAGGACGGGCCCGCGUUAGAUUAGCUUGUUGGUGAGGUAAAGGCUCACCAAGGCGACGAUCUAUAGCUGGUCUGAGAGGAUGAUCAGCCACACUGGGACUGAGACACGGCCCAGACUCCUACGGGAGGCAGCAGUGGGGAAUAUUGGACAAUGGGGGGCAGCCCUGAUCCAGCCAUGCCGCGUGCGUGAAGAAGGCCUUAGGGUUGUAAAGCGCUUUCACCGGUGAAGAUGAUGACGGUAGCCGGAGAAGAAGCCCCGGCUAACUCCGUG
This 445-nucleotide ribosomal RNA is filed under the name uncultured bacterium. RNAcentral's name for it is "bacterial SSU rRNA". It matches the Rfam family "Bacterial small subunit ribosomal RNA", at positions 29 to 507 of the family's 1533-position model. The record is from RNAcentral.